CUGGUGCUGAUUCAGCUAAGGCUCUGUUCACAGCAGGUCUGAUGCACAAGUCAGAUUUUUUGGUCAAAUGUGAUUUGUUUGUGUGUUGGUUCAUAUUCCACAUUAAAUGCGACUUCUAUCAGUUUUGAGUCUGAACUGAAUGUGACCCUGAAGUGACCCACAUGGACUAAAGAG
This is a long non-coding RNA of Sphaeramia orbicularis (orbiculate cardinalfish), 174 nucleotides long. RefSeq lists it as uncharacterized. NCBI's taxonomy places the organism in Eukaryota, Metazoa, Chordata, Actinopteri, Kurtiformes, Apogonidae. The record is from RefSeq and is a predicted model, not a curated record. The transcript has 3 exons.